GGUUGUGUAGUGUAGUGGUUAUCACAUUGGAUUUUGAUAGCUCCCUAUCCUUCCAAUAACCCCGGUUCGAGCCCGGGCACGACCU
RNAcentral lists this transfer RNA (85 nucleotides) under Echria macrotheca. RNAcentral's name for it is "tRNA-Gln". It matches the Rfam family "tRNA". From Rfam's summary of the family: Transfer RNA (tRNA) molecules are approximately 80 nucleotides in length. Lineage: Eukaryota; Fungi; Ascomycota; Sordariomycetes; Sordariales; Schizotheciaceae. The record is from RNAcentral.